RNAcentral lists this ribosomal RNA (466 nucleotides) under uncultured bacterium. RNAcentral describes it as "partial 16S ribosomal RNA". It matches the Rfam family "Bacterial small subunit ribosomal RNA", at positions 339 to 795 of the family's 1533-position model. The record is from RNAcentral.
CUACGGGAGGCUGCAGUGAGGAAUUUUGCGCAAUGGGGGCAACCCUGACGCAGCAACGCCGCGUGAGUGAUGAAGGCUUUCGGGUCGUAAAGCUCUGUCAAGUGGGAAGAACCGGUCGGGUGCUAAUAUCGUCCGACCCUGACGGUACCACUGAAGGAAGCACCGGCUAGCUCCGUGCCAGCAGCCGCGGUAAUACGGGGGGGUGCAAGCGUUAUUCGGAAUUAUUGGGCGUAAAGGGCGCGUAGGCGGUUCUUUAAGUCAGAUGUGAAAUCCCGGGGCUCAACCCCGGAAGUGCAUUUGAAACUAAAGGACUUGAGUAUGGGAGAGGGAAGUGGAAUUCCUGGUGUAGAGGUGAAAUUCGUAGAUAUCAGGAGGAACACCUGUGGCGAAGGCGGCUUCCUGGACCAAUACUGACGCUGAGGCGCGAAGGCGCGGGGAGCAAACAGGAUUAGAUACCCCUGUAGUC